CCUACGGGCGGCAGCAGUGAGGAAUAUUGGUCAAUGGACGAGAGUCUGAACCAGCCAAGUAGCGUGAAGGAUGACUGCCCUAUGGGUUGUAAACUUCUUUUAUAUGGGAAUAAAAUGUUCCACGUGUGGGAUUUUGUAUGUACCAUAUGAAUAAGGAACGGCUAACUCCGUUCCAGCAGCCCCGGUAAUACGGAGGAUCCGAGGGGUAUCCGGAUUUAUUGGGUUGAAAGGGAGCGGAGGUGGAUUUUUAAGUCAGUUGUGAAAGUUGGCGGCUCAACCGUAAAAUUGCAGUUGAAACUGGCAGUCGUGAGUACAGUAGAGGUGGGCGGAAUGCGUGGUGUAGCGGUGAAAUGCUUAGAUAUCACGAAGAACUCCGAUUGCGAAGGCAGUUCACUGGACUGCAACUGACACUGAGGCUCGAAAGUGUGGGUAUCAAACAGGAUUAGAUACCCCGGUAGUC
RNAcentral lists this ribosomal RNA (460 nucleotides) under uncultured bacterium. RNAcentral describes it as "partial 16S ribosomal RNA". It matches the Rfam family "Bacterial small subunit ribosomal RNA", at positions 338 to 795 of the family's 1533-position model. The record is from RNAcentral.